UGAGGCAAAUAUAUUUUAUAUGAAUUUCUUAGACUUUCAGUUUUUGAAGGAAGGAUGUGUCUUUUACUGAUUCAAGUUAAUUACAUGCUUUCAUGUAUAUUCUUUCUGGCAACAGGGUCAUCCACCUGUCUCGAAAGCCUAUAGCUUUGCAGCCAAGACUCAGUAUAUAAAAUGACUGAGAGAAACAAGAGAAAAAAAAAAAAAAAAACAAAAAACACGCAAAACACAAAUAUCAAUAGCAAAGGUUAGAACAGGCUCCUGAACAGAGACCCGGGCCCCAGCGCUCAGCCCGCCUCCGCCGCUAGGGCCCCGCCCCUCGCAGAGGCGGGGCAAAGGCCCGGAAGGGGCGGGGCCCGGAGCGCCAACCGCCCGCCGGAAGGAGCUGGGCUUUCUUUUGCGCGCGGCCGGCGAUGGCGGAGGGUCCUCGAGGCACCGUCGCCGAGCGGGCCCGGCGGCAGCGUCUGCGGGCCAGUCGCUGGGCUCUUCGAGGAAUUAGCAUUUGUGAGUCUUCCUUGGUCAAUACGCCCUAAAGACGUGGUGUUGAAACCGGAGAACGGAGUGUCCGGCUGCCCCGCCCCAGGCCGAAGGCCUGCCCCGCCCGUAGGUGUUUGCCUUCUCUGGAUGUGUUUCGGGACAUAA
RNAcentral lists this long non-coding RNA (639 nucleotides) under Canis lupus familiaris (dog). RNAcentral's name for it is "lncRNA (ENSCAFG00000054511.1)". Lineage: Eukaryota; Metazoa; Chordata; Mammalia; Carnivora; Canidae. The record is from RNAcentral.